Molecule: transfer RNA, 75 nt
Filed under: Rubrivivax sp.
Lineage: Bacteria; Pseudomonadati; Pseudomonadota; Betaproteobacteria; Burkholderiales; Sphaerotilaceae
Also listed under: 2 other names
Description: tRNA-Arg
Rfam family: tRNA
About the family: Transfer RNA (tRNA) molecules are approximately 80 nucleotides in length. Their secondary structure includes four short double-helical elements and three loops (D, anti-codon, and T loops).
Source: RNAcentral
CCCGCCGUAGUUCAACGGAUAGAACGGGCGCCUCCUAAGCGCCAGAUACAGGUUCGAUUCCUGUCGGGGGGGCCA